Molecule: non-coding RNA, 73 nt
Organism: Alligator sinensis (Chinese alligator)
Lineage: Eukaryota; Metazoa; Chordata; Crocodylia; Alligatoridae
Source: Rfam
GACCAUGUGGCCUAAUGGAUAAGGUGUCUGACUUCAGAUCAGAAGACUACAGGUUCAAAUCCUGCCGUGGUUG